This 425-nucleotide ribosomal RNA is filed under the name uncultured bacterium. Its description in RNAcentral is "partial 16S ribosomal RNA". It matches the Rfam family "Bacterial small subunit ribosomal RNA", at positions 354 to 796 of the family's 1533-position model. The record is from RNAcentral.
GUGAGGAAUUUUGCGCAAUGGGGGAAACCCUGACGCAGCGACGCCGCGUGGAGGAUGAAGUCUUUCGAGAUGUAAACUCCUGUCAGUGGGGAAGAUAAUGACGGUACCCACAGAGGAAGCACCGGCUAACUCCGUGCCAGCAGCCGCGGUAAGACGGAGGGUGCAAGCGUUGUUCGGAAUUACUGGGCGUAAAGCGUACGUAGGCGGCGGGUUAAGUCGAAUGUUAAAGCCUGGAGCUCAACUCCAGAGAUGCAUUCGAUACUGGCUUGCUAGAGGUUGAUAGAGGAAAGCGGAAUUCCGAGUGUAGCGGUGAAAUGCGUAGAUAUUCGGAGGAACAUCAGUAGCGAAGGCGGCUUUCUGGGUCACACCUGACGCUGAGGUACGAAAGCGUGGGGAGCAAACGGGAUUAGAAACCCCAGUAGUCC